GAACGCACCUUGCACCCUCUGGUAUUCCGGAGGGUAUGCCCGGUUGAGUGUCAUGAAUAUCUCAACUCCAAUGUUUUGUCAAGGUCUUGUCGACUCGUCCUGCUGGCCUAGCGAGGCUGCUGUGACUGUUGCGAGGCUGAAGCGUUGGAGCUUGGACUUGAGCUCUGUUGGCCUUCCGAGGUCGACUGGCUAGAAAUGCAUCAGCGAUGACGUCCCUUGGGUCCAUCUCGGCGUGAUAAGUUGAUCGUCGCAAAGGUCCUCGGGUUGGCUCGCUCCUAAUGGUCUUCGGACAGCCUCUGACGUUUACACCUCAACUCGGGUAGGACUACCCGCUGAACUUAAG
RNAcentral lists this unclassified non-coding RNA (343 nucleotides) under uncultured Tulasnellaceae. Its description in RNAcentral is "sequence contains 5.8S rRNA gene". Lineage: Eukaryota; Fungi; Basidiomycota; Agaricomycetes; Cantharellales; Tulasnellaceae. The record is from RNAcentral.